Molecule: small RNA, 91 nt
Filed under: Salmonella enterica subsp. enterica serovar Manhattan
Lineage: Bacteria; Pseudomonadati; Pseudomonadota; Gammaproteobacteria; Enterobacterales; Enterobacteriaceae
Description: partial RtT sRNA
Rfam family: RtT RNA
About the family: This family represents a bacterial cis-regulatory element known as RtT RNA.
Source: RNAcentral
GUGGAAACGAGAAUAAAGCGUGAAGGAUAACGUUGCGUCAGCAACGGCCCGUAGGGCGAGGCGAAGCCGAGUCAUCCUGCACAACCCACCA